AGCGAACGCUGGCGGCAGGCCUAACACAUGCAAGUCGAACGAACUCUUCGGAGUUAGUGGCGGACGGGUGAGUAACACGUGGGAACGUACCUUUAGGUUCGGAAUAACUCAGGGAAACUUGUGCUAAUACCGAAUGUGCCCUUCGGGGGAAAGAUUUAUCGCCUUUAGGGCGGCCCGCGUCUGAUUAGCUAGUUGGUGAGGUAAAGGCCCACCAAGGCGACGAUCAGUAGCUGGUCUGAGAGGAUGAUCAGCCACAUUGGGACUGAGACGCGGCCCAAACUCCUACGGGAGGCAGCAGUGGGGAAUCUUGCGCAAUGGGCGAAAGCCUGACGCAGCCAUGCCGCGUGAAUGAUGAAGGUCUUAGGAUUGUAAAAUUCUUUCACCGGGGACGAUAAUGACGGUACCCGGAGAAGAAGCCCCGGCUAACUUCGUGCCAGCAGCCGCAGUAA
RNAcentral lists this ribosomal RNA (449 nucleotides) under uncultured bacterium. Its description in RNAcentral is "partial 16S ribosomal RNA". It matches the Rfam family "Bacterial small subunit ribosomal RNA", at positions 29 to 523 of the family's 1533-position model. The record is from RNAcentral.